CUUGAUCGACCCGAGCCACAACGGCUCGUCGCGGUCCUGCCCGUACGUGGCCAGCAACGCCUGCGCCUC
Molecule: non-coding RNA, 69 nt
Organism: Micromonospora humi
Lineage: Bacteria; Bacillati; Actinomycetota; Actinomycetes; Micromonosporales; Micromonosporaceae
Source: Rfam